Molecule: small RNA, 133 nt
Filed under: Escherichia coli O157:H7
Lineage: Bacteria; Pseudomonadati; Pseudomonadota; Gammaproteobacteria; Enterobacterales; Enterobacteriaceae
Description: RtT sRNA
Rfam family: RtT RNA
About the family: This family represents a bacterial cis-regulatory element known as RtT RNA.
Source: RNAcentral
UUUCUGCCCAAGCGGGGAAGGAUGAGAAGCUUCGACCAAGGUUCGACUUGAGCGCCAGCGAGAGAGCGUUGCCGCAGGCAACGACCCGAAGGGCGAAGCGCGCAGCGCUGAGUAAUCCUUCCCCCCACCACCA